GACGAACGCUGGCGGCGUGCUUAACACAUGCAAGUCGAACGGAAAGGCCCUGCUUUCAGGGUGCUCGAGUGGCGAACGGGCGAGUAACAUGUGGGUGAUCUGCCCCUUACUUUGGGAUAAGCCUGGUAAACUGGGUCUAAUACUGGACAGGACCAUGCUGUCGGUUGUGUGGUGGGAAGCUCAGUUUCGCUCAGGGAUGAGCUCGCGGCCUAUCAGCUUGUUGGUGUGGUGAUGGCCUACCAAGGCGUCGACGGGGACCCGGCCUGAGAGGGCGGACGGCCACAAUGGGACUGUGAUGCGAACCAGGCUACUGCGUGGGGCAGCCGGGGCGAAGAUUGCACAAUGCGCGCAAGCUCGAUGCAGCGUGGCUCCGGGGGGCACGGUGGGCUUCUGGAAGUAUAGUCCUGGCUGUCACAUCGAAGCCGUUGCGAUGACUGUAGUGGUAGUGGAAGCACCGGCCAAUUCCGU
Molecule: ribosomal RNA, 468 nt
Filed under: uncultured bacterium
Lineage: Bacteria
Description: partial 16S ribosomal RNA
Rfam family: Bacterial small subunit ribosomal RNA
Source: RNAcentral